RNAcentral lists this ribosomal RNA (253 nucleotides) under uncultured bacterium. RNAcentral describes it as "partial 16S ribosomal RNA". It matches the Rfam family "Bacterial small subunit ribosomal RNA", at positions 524 to 776 of the family's 1533-position model. The record is from RNAcentral.
UACAGAGGGCUCAAGCGUUGUUCGGAUUCAUUGGGCGUAAAGGGUGCGUAGGCGGCAGUGCAAGUCAGGUGUGAAAUCCCGGGGCUCAACCCCGGAACUGCACUUGAUACUGCUCUGCUAGAGUACUGGAGAGGAGACUGGAAUUUACGGUGUAGCAGUGAAAUGCGUAGAUAUCGUAAGGAACACCAGUGGCGAAGGCGAGUCUCUGGACAGUUACUGACGCUGAGGCGCGAAGGCCAGGGGAGCAAACGGG